This 73-nucleotide transfer RNA is filed under the name Peribacillus asahii. RNAcentral's name for it is "tRNA-Thr". It matches the Rfam family "tRNA". Rfam says of the family: Transfer RNA (tRNA) molecules are approximately 80 nucleotides in length. Their secondary structure includes four short double-helical elements and three loops (D, anti-codon, and T loops). The record is from RNAcentral. RNAcentral also lists the same sequence under 1 other name. Lineage: Bacteria; Bacillati; Bacillota; Bacilli; Caryophanales; Bacillaceae.
GCUUCCAUAGCUCAGUAGGUAGAGCACUUCCAUGGUAAGGAAGAGGUCAGCGGUUCAAGCCCGCUUGGGAGCU